Molecule: long non-coding RNA, 5233 nt
Organism: Mauremys reevesii (Reeves's turtle)
Lineage: Eukaryota; Metazoa; Chordata; Testudines; Geoemydidae
Exons: 8
Source: RefSeq, a predicted model, not a curated record
AUAGUUACUUUUAAAUCUGUUAUAGAAUGUCCAGGGAGAUUGAAGUGUUCACCUACUGGCUUUUGUAUAUUACCAUUACUGAUGUAAAAGAAGAUGGCUAUACAUAGUGCUUCCCAAAUUGUUGACUGUGAUCUACUGGGUGCUCAUGGAUUUUCUAAUGAAGAGCUAGUGUGAGUUCAUAAUGUGUAGUGGUGCCACUUCUAAACUCAUGAGUACUUCGUUAGAGAGGGUCUCAGUCAAUUAUAGAGCAUGUGUACAAGCUAUGAAGUAUUUCAGUGCCCAGAUACAAUGGGAUGUACCUGAUAAGUGCUUGCCCCCUGCAUUUCUGUACUCUGGCAAAACGCCAGGGCGUUUUACUUGAGCAAAGGCAAUGUCUUUGUGGCCCUGCAGUUCAGCCUACAGGGGGUGUGAAUUGCAGCAUGCACUAGCACAGUGGUUCUCAAACUUUUGUAUCAGUGACCCCUUUCACACAGCCCGCCUCUGAGUGCGACCCCCCCCCAAAUUAAAAACACUUUUUAAUAUAUUUAACACCAUUAUAAAUGCUGGAGGCAAAGCGGGAUCUGGGGUAGGGGGUAACAGCUCGUGACCCCUCAUGUAAUAACCUCGUGACCCCCUAAGGGGUCCCGACCCCCAGUUUGAGAACCCCUGCACUAGCAUGUUGUGCUGUCACUUCCCUGUGUGAAUGCUGCUGGCACAAAUUAGGAGAUACCCAAUUCACAUUAACUUAGUCCUCUUUCAAACAAGACUAUGUUAAUGCAAACAUAGGUACCUUUUAGUUCUUGUCAGUGGCAUCCAUACAGCAUUACAGUGCAGCAUGCUAGUGUAUGCUACAGUUCAUACCCUCAUAGUCGGUGCUGUGGGGUGCGUAGACAAACCUAAAGAGUGCAGGAUUGGGGACAUUGACUAAAUUACAAUAGAAUUGUUUAUUUUAUUUAUUUAUCUAUAUCUAUUUUUGGAGCUCUGUGAUAUUUUCUGUGGAUGCAGAGAGGAAUUAAAUGAUUACAGAUUCAGGCCCUGUGUGCUGCUUGUGUUGCCCUGUCAUGACAAUUGUGUUUAUUGUGGUACCUGCCACGCUGUGAGAAAUUUCAAGGAGCUGUUUAGUGUCCACUCAGAGACCAGCCCACAUAGGAGCAACUUUUCAGGAUGCUCUGAAUGGCCUUGUGGUCAUAGGUCAAGUAAUGGUUACAUUUAUUCUUUGCUCACAUGAUCAAUAAGGAAAAGUACUGUGCAGGUAGUGGCAUAGGACACCUAAAUUGGUGUGAUUAUGUAGAAAAUGCCUAACUAUAGCUAUAUGUUGUUAAAAAAAAAAACUUAAAAUGAGAAAUUAAAAUUGUUAGAACUUUUGUUCCUUGAGGAGAUCCUGAAAAAGGCAACCAGAAAUCAAAGACAUUGCAAUAUGCUGAGUUUAAUAGAUAAAUCUUAAAAAAAAAAAAUCCGAACACUUAUUUUUUAGUAUUAAAAAGGAUCAGAGGUUUUCUUUAUUCACCACUGACCGUCUCUUUUCUCCCUGGUGGUUCUGAUUUUAUAUAUAAUGGCUACUAAAGAAGGGGAGUUGAAAAGCCUCUAGCCCAUAACUUAUUAAAAAUUUACACAUUGUUCCAUAAGAAGUAAAAUUUACAAACUGAGCCAACAUGAGGUGAGAGGCACAGUAAAGUUGGAUUAGGAUCAGUAUGGCUGCUUUCAUUACGCACAGUUGUAUGAUAGUAAAUGUGAUUUCUAAAACCUACUUUCCACUUCAUGUGAAAUGCAUCAUUUAAGUUCCUUCCCAAAAAACACAUUCAUAAUUAUUGUCGGUAUUAUGUCUUUUUAAAGUGUAAUCUGGGCUCUAGAAACAUAAGAACGUCCAUACUGAGUAAGACCAGAGGUCUAUCUAGCCUGGUAUCCCGUCUUCCAACAGUGGCCAAUGCCAGGUGCCCCAAAGGGAAUGAACAGAACAGGCAAUCAAGUGAUUCAUUCCCUAUUGCCCAUUCCCAGCUUCUGGCAAAGCUUGAGAAGCUUCAUAUUUAAAUAGGCAUUGUUGCUUUUGGACCAUGCUCCAGCACUUGCGCAGCUAUUUCCUUGUUGCAUACCUAAACUAAAUAUUUUCUGAUCACGUAAGAAUUAGCUAGGGAUACUGAUACUCCAAGGCAUAUUUACUACAUAUGCACUGAUCACCUCAUUUCCUAAGCUCUCAUGCCUUUGGCACUCAGCACCCCAGGGGAUUUUAUGGUAACUAGUUAUGCUCUGUGUAUUCUAAUUCUUCUCUAAAUUGCACUUCUUUAGCAAGUCCUAUUAAUGUUAAUUUGUCAAACAAAGAAAUGUUUUAUUGUUGAAAAAGAAACCUGUGGUGUUUUCUGCUCGAUCAGCUUUCUCAUCUUCUGGUACAUUUUGUAUCUGAAUUGUAUUGUUUGCCUAGAUUGUAAGCUCCUUGGGGCAGGAACCAUAUCUUCCUUGGUUUGUACAGAGUCAUACAUUCUAUCAGCACUAUUGUGCAGCAGUGAUUAUUGGAGAAAGAGAAAGGUGCUGUGAUCCAAUCUCCACAGCACUGGAAUGGGACUCAGACCCAGGGAUUUCAGACGCAGGCUCUGCUACUGUCUGGCUCUGUGACCUUGGGAAAGUCACUUCACUACUAGAUUUUUAUUUCCAUUUUCACCUUUUGUCUGCUUAGUCUAGUUAGACAAUAGGACUUUCAGAGUAGGCCUGUCUUUUACUAUAUAUUUAUACAGUGCCUAGUACAAUAGAGCCUGAUCUUGGUUGGGGUCUUUAGAUGUUAACAUAACACUAUUUAUUUAUUUGUUGUUUGGCUUGAUGUGGAAACCUGUCUGCCAGGAACUGCACCGAGACCACCUACUUUUCACUUUGCGACUACUUGUCAGGAGCUUGAAUCUACACCCUGAGGUCUGAACACGGCAAUUUGUUUGAAAUCCACCCUUUUCCAUUUUGAGCAGUUGUGUUCAGUGUUUAUAUUUGAUACAUUAUGGGCCUGAAAACUCAAAUCCAAUUAUAAUGUUCAGAUUUAGGGUUUUGGUCAAGUCUACCUCUGGUUGCAACCUGAGUUAGAUUCAAACUGGUGAAAAUUUCUUUAACCCCUCACUAACCCCACGAGUCUUCAAGUCUGUUUUAAAGGACCACUUUUUAAUAUCUGUAUGCUAAGAAGGGAGAAUCUCCUUUAUUUCCUUUUUCAACAAAGCACCUCCCCUUCGCUACCAUUAUUCAAAUAAUUAGUGUCACCCUUGACCUAGAAUUGUCUUCUCCAGUAUCUCCCAUAUGUGUAAAUAUAUACAUCACCAAAUAUGCCACAAUACCCAUGUACAUCUUUACCCCAGCCCUUACUACUGAUGCCUUCAUUUCCUCUCAGCUUGACUGUUAUAGUUCCCAGCUCUUCAGACUCCAGCAUAUGCAGUAUGCUCCUGCUAUAUACUCAUAAAUUCAAGAAGCACAACUAAAUUACAUGUAUUUACAAACAAUUUUCUAGUCAUUUCAGGAUUGACUUCAAGUUCUCUCUGAUCCAGUUCACAAUUUCCCUCCUUGAGACAAAUUUUACUCAGUUAGUUAUUCUGGAUUUAUACCAGCGUAACUUAAUUGCCGUUAGUCUUUGAAGUUCACUAAAAUCAAAGGAGUUACUAGGGAUUUACCCCAAAAUGUGAACCCUUAUGUUUAAAACCUGACAUGGACCUGGUCUGUCUUAGUCCAUCUUCUCCCCUACCCAUUUCUUCUGUUAGACUCACUGCCUCUAUGUCCUUUCACACAGUAUCAUUACUGUUGGUACAAGAGCCUUCUUUAUAGCUUCUGCCAUCUGCCUUCCCAUGUUUCUAUCUUGAACUCUUUGUCUUUGCAUCUACCUCAUAAUUCCUCUUUCCCUCUACCUGCUAUUUAACUUCUGAAUUGUAUUAUUUCUGUCUGAUUAUAUAAUCUAGCUGUGUAAAACAUUUUGGAAUAUAGUUUGAAUGAAAGUUGCUGUACAAAAUAAAGCAAUAUUGUAUUGUAAUUAAAUAGUAACCUCAACAAAUUGGAGUUUGACACAUGUAGUUGCCAUUCACAAUUUCCAGAAAAUGGUAUGAAACUUGUAUCAAAUUUGUACUUGUCAAUGUAGAAAGUCUCUAUAAUAAUGUAUGGGGUGUUUUUUUACCAAAAUUAUACUUGCCAGCUUUACAGUUUAUUUGUAGUCAGAUGUUAAAAUUGAUAAACAAUGGGGAACUGUUAGAAAUUACAUGUUUAGUUUUUUAAAAAUUCAUUAUUUGCCAGGCCAACUGACCAGUCUCAUUUUAUAACUUCUCCAUUCAAAGUACAGAAAAUUGCCAGCUGCUGAAGUUGAGCUGACCUGAAAAUGCUGAAUAAAGCUUAAGACAAAGCAGAGCCACCUGCUCAGCUGCAUAAGGAGGACAGAAAAAAUAAGUUCAGGACAGACCUGGAUUUCAACAGCAGUAAAGAAGGCCAGAAGCAUUGACACCCCUUUGUAACAGGACCUGUGGGGUAUUAUCUACUGCUCAUUUGCAUCUCUUGGCUUUUCCAGCUGCUACCUAGAAAGUAAAGAAGUUUUGCCAGAUGUUCAAGAGGAAUCUACAUUAAAAAUGCCAAAUAAAGCCCAAGAGGAUGCUGUGAUUAACCUGAAAUCAGUACAAGAACUGGGUAAGCAGCUGGGUUUUGAGUGGACAAUUGUUGCUAAUGAGCUGGGAUUCAGCAGAGCAGAAAUAACCCAGUUUCACUCAGCUAGCACAGAGAAGAAGAUUCAGGCACAGAAAAUGCUGGAAUGCUGGUAUGAACGAUCAUGGAAUAAACUUAACAAGACAAAGAUCCUUCAGGAUGCCUUGGAACGGGCUGGAAGAAAGGACCUGGCUGAUAAACUUCAGUGCCUGCACUGGGGACAUCAGAAGUUAAGCAGCAGAGUGGAGCUCCCUUCUGCUUUCCCCUUUCUCAUCACCGUGCACAAAACCAUCAACAACAAGGAAGGGCUUAAGAAAAUUAACCAACUUAGUCGCAAGUAUCCCUAAGGAAUGUCAAGUCUAGUCCUCCCUGGUUUGGUGAAGGACGCACUGAAUGUCUCAGAAUCAGCCCACAAGCAUCCAGAGAAUUCCCCUGCCAUGGGCACUGCAUUGUGCCAUCACAGACAGCUCUACACUGCACACUCCAGCCGUGGGAGGCAGGAAAUCAAGGGCAGAAAAUUUAACACAGAGCUCCUACGGCUGUACCCCAAGGACCAUCCUUCAUCUCUAUGUAAAAAUAAGCAUGAACUUCCAAGACAUGACAAUAAAUA